RNAcentral lists this long non-coding RNA (1589 nucleotides) under Trifolium pratense (red clover). RNAcentral describes it as "long non-coding RNA (TPRA_LNC012925)". The record is from RNAcentral. Lineage: Eukaryota; Viridiplantae; Streptophyta; Magnoliopsida; Fabales; Fabaceae.
UCCAGUUUUGAUAAAUCUAAAAUCUGCUCCUUAGAGACAUCAUUUUUCUUUGUACGGUAAGUCCAACUUUUGUCGCUCUCUUGUUUUCCUUUCUAGGUACUCUGUUGCUUGUACCUGAACUGAUCAUAUGACAACAUAAUUAGCAGUGAACAAAUGAAUAUUUAUAUUUAUAAUGCACAAAUUUGGAAACACUCUUAUGACAGCGAGGAGUUGUGUGCACGAUAGAACCUAUAAACAUGUUACUAUUACAUAGUAUACCAUAGCAAAAUCUACGAAAAAAAUCGUUUAAAAAGCAAAGCAUUCUGGUCUAACCAAAUACAACACCAUAAUAAACAAACUCAAAUGACACUUCCACAGAAUUUGGUCACCCCAAACCGAUUGCAAUUAACGGAUUCUUAUCAUUCCGUGACGAACAUAACACUUUAUUGAACCCAUUACAACUCUUACUAUUCAGUUUCGAAAUGACCUUAGUCUCAAACACACACCUGAGAAGUGAUCCAACAUUAGAAAAGGAUCCAAGUUCCUCAUCUCGCUCCUUAGAAUCACGUCACAUAGAUCAUAUCAAAUAAAUGCAGAAGGCAACAUUCAAUUCAAGUUAAGCAAAAUGCAAGAAUAAUAAUAUAAAAAUAUACCUUCCAAUGCCUCUUCUAAACAGUUCCAACCCGUUCACGUCGAGGUUUAGCCAAAAACUUGUUGAGAACCAACUUGGGAGUGAUAAAAGCAGAGUAUGAUAUUCCUCCUGACAUUGAAAAAGAUACAAACAGAUCGAUCUUAUAGAAUCCAAUUAAUGUUCUAAAAUGUUCUAAAAUGUCAUGAAUUAUAAUGACAAAGGCUUAAUAAUCAAUUAUGUGCCGCCAUUCCAUCAAAAACUAAUAUCAAACUUUGUUAGUGAGGAAACAUAAUAUAAUGAAUUAAUACACUUACCACUACUUGGUUUUGUAUAAGGAAUAAACUUUGUUAGUAGUCAACAUCAUAAACUUCAAAGUAACACCAAAACAGUGUAAUUCUGUAGUGGACAACGCACUGUCAGUCACUAUCGGUGUCAUAUAUCAAUCAAGUUCAUUAACAUUCAAAAUCAACAACAAAAUUCCUAUGAUUCCAUGCGUAUAAUACACAAAAUAUUCAACUAAACAAAAUUUAAAAAAAAAAAAUUAAAAAAAACCUAGAACAAUUUCAAUACAAAAUAAUUAACCUAUUCCAGUAGGGAAAUCUGUUCCAAUUUCAAUCAGAGAAACACUGAGUUAGCGAUUCAGAUGGAGAUCGAGUACCGAUUAGGUUUAGGUUUUGUGAGGAAGCGCUUCAAUUAGGAAUCACGGUAACUUCAUAGUCUCUAGGUUUACAGCAUUGGUGUGAGGCAGCGAUUCUGAGUGAAUCAGGAACUUCGGUAACUUCAUAGGAAGCGAUUCUGAGUGCACGUCGACGAAGGAAACGAUUAUGAGUGGAUUAAGAAGCGAUUGUGAAGAAGUGAUUAUGAGUGGAUUGGGAAGAAGCAAAGAAGCGAUUAGAGUGAUAAAGGAGAACGCGAUUUUGUUCUUUCAAUUUUGACUUUGAGAGAUGAUUUUGAGUUAUUAAAUUUUUUUUUACCAAAU